GUAAUGGUUCCUUUAGGAACCAUUGAGCAUAAAGUUUACAAAACUUU
Non-coding RNA from Camelus ferus (Wild Bactrian camel), 47 nucleotides. NCBI's taxonomy places the organism in Eukaryota, Metazoa, Chordata, Mammalia, Artiodactyla, Camelidae. The record is from Rfam.